GGAAGACAGCCCCUGACAAAUGGAACCAUCACGGCGGUUACUCCAGACCAUUGUCCCAGCUCCGCAGAUGAGGCGAUUGGAACGAUGGAGGCUGGCAGGAGUGCUGUGGAUCAGGGGUGAGCCGGUCCUUCAGAAUUCCUGAGGUCCCUAGCGCUUUGCUUCUCCCCAUCUAGUUCCUAGGUGAUCAGACUGAGAUAAAUGAAC
RNAcentral lists this long non-coding RNA (204 nucleotides) under Fukomys damarensis (Damara mole-rat). RNAcentral's name for it is "lncRNA (ENSFDAG00000033591.1)". Lineage: Eukaryota; Metazoa; Chordata; Mammalia; Rodentia; Bathyergidae. The record is from RNAcentral.